ACGUAGGGGGCGAACGUUGUCCGGAUUUAUUGGGCGUAAAGAGCUCGUAGGCGGCUCAGCAAGUCGGCCGUGAAAGUCCGGGGCUCAACCCCGGGAUGCCGGUCGAUACUGCUGUGGCUAGGGUCCGGUAGAGGAGAGUGGAAUUCCCGGUGUAGCGGUGAAAUGCGCAGAUAUCGGGAGGAACACCAGUAGCGAAGGCGGCUCUCUGGGCCGGUACCGACGCUGAGGAGCGAAAGCUAGGGGAGCGAACAGGA
RNAcentral lists this ribosomal RNA (254 nucleotides) under uncultured prokaryote. Its description in RNAcentral is "partial 16S ribosomal RNA". It matches the Rfam family "Bacterial small subunit ribosomal RNA", at positions 525 to 777 of the family's 1533-position model. The record is from RNAcentral.